AAAAAAAGGGAAAAGAGAAGAGAAAGGAAGUAUGUGUGUGAGCCUGUGGGUACCCUGAGGCUUCAGCAGGGAGUUUGUGGUUUUAAGGGGUUCAGGAAUCACCUGGCCUCCUGUUCCAAGGGCCCUCCUUCGACAUAUUGAGUGUUGGCCACACCACAUGAGGAGUCAGGCUAGAGAAUUCCAACACUGUCCCUUGUGCGAGUAGGAUUUGCAUGUGACAUUUCUGAGGUUUGUUUCCUUGACUUUCCAUAACAGGGAGGCCUGACAGAUCACACCAGCCAACAGAACUCCUGUCCAGGGAAGCUGGGAUCAGUUCUUAGAGACUGAUCAGCACUGGGUGUCUGAGGAACAAUCAGGAGCAGGAGCGCUGGUGAUAGAUUAGUGAUGUCUGCGGCGCUGGUGAUAGAUUAGUGAUGUCUGCCACAGAUGUGGUUUGAAAGAAUGGGCAGAUACCAUUCCAGAUGCAAGCUGGCUGGGAAGAACAAAGCAAGAGGGUGUGGGUAGACAGUACCAUUGUACCCCCCCAGAGAGAGGAAUGAGAUGACAAAGGACCUGUGUUUACAGGGAGGUGACUUUGGAGCAGGACCCUGAAGAUAGGCUCUGGGAAAUAGCCUCUUAGGAA
RNAcentral lists this long non-coding RNA (622 nucleotides) under Mus spicilegus (steppe mouse). RNAcentral's name for it is "lncRNA (ENSMSIG00000002600.1)". The record is from RNAcentral. Lineage: Eukaryota; Metazoa; Chordata; Mammalia; Rodentia; Muridae.